Molecule: long non-coding RNA, 906 nt
Organism: Entelurus aequoreus (snake pipefish)
Lineage: Eukaryota; Metazoa; Chordata; Actinopteri; Syngnathiformes; Syngnathidae
Exons: 6
Source: RefSeq, a predicted model, not a curated record
UUUGCUGGUAUAAAGUAGAGAAACCUAGCCGGGAUGUACAUGCGCCAUUUUAAGCAGCUGCCCGCCCGCACGCCACUCUGACUGACCGAGCCCGACGCCGAACACAAACACACUUUUCACGCUCGCAUUUUCACAUUUUUCAACAUGGCUAAAGCUAAGUCAUCUUCCACCGCCGAGAGACGAGUUUCCCUGCGCCUCUUAGCGAAACCAAAGCCUAAACCAACAGUGGUCGCCACGAAGAAAGCGGCUGCAAAGAAGACACCCAAAGAAAAGAAGACCAAGGCAGCAGAGAACGGCAACACCAAGACUGAGGAGGCAAAGGCCGAAGCCACCUAAUCCACAUGAAGGAACCUUGGCGUGCUCCCUCACCCUCCCCCGUGUACUUGGUGAUUGUACAGUUUGAAAUAAGUAUUUUUUACCAAGUUUUAUAUUACAAAUGUCAUUUAUAGGUUUGUCUUGCACUUGACGUAACAAAUGGUGUGUCCUCACAUUCAUAUCUAUUUUGACACCGCCGUCCGUUCCCCGUAGCCGCCCGCCCCCCUCGUGUUUCCCCUCUUAAUGCUUUUUUUUUUAACUGCUGAACAUUAGAUAUUUCUGCACAUGUUGGAUUUUGCAGUCUGAUUGUUUGUUUUUUUUGUUUCUUUCUUUUGGAUAUUAUAAGGCAGCUACAGCAUUAUUUGAGAAAUGAAGACACAGUUUCUGUUUCACUGCUUAAGUAAUAAAGUCAUUGCUUAAUGAUUUUGAAAUGCUAGAUUACAAGAUCUAGUCCGUUUUCUUUAAUGCCAGCAGGAAAAAAAUCCCAGAAAAAGCAUGUAUGAUGUGGACUCAAUCAUCCUAUUAAGCUAUGUUCAUUUUUUAUCACUCCAAUUGUUAAUCUAAAUGUUACUGAAUAAACAUUUUUUUUAA